UACGGAGGAUGCAAGCGUUAUCCGGAAUUAUUGGGCGUAAAGCGUCUGUAGGUGGCUUUUUAAGUCUGCCGUCAAAUCCCAGGGCUUAACCCUGGACAGGCGGUGGAAACUACCAAGCUGGAGUACGGUAGGGGCAGGGGGAAUUUCCGGUGGAGCGGUGAAAUGCGUAGAGAUCGGAAAGAACACCAACGGCGAAAGCACUCUGCUGGGCCGACACUGACACUGAGAGACGAAAGCUAGGGGAGCGAAUGGG
Molecule: ribosomal RNA, 253 nt
Filed under: uncultured bacterium
Lineage: Bacteria
Description: partial 16S ribosomal RNA
Rfam family: Bacterial small subunit ribosomal RNA
Source: RNAcentral